CUUAUUAUUCCGUUAAUAGUAGCCUAAAGAAACGUGCGAGGGGAGUAAUCCCGUGUGGUGUGUAGCUUCGUUGACAAAACACCUGCCUGACAUAUGCAAAUUUUUUCGAGAUUUUUAGGGUGUAAUUAAUUUUGUUACGAACUCAUUC
Non-coding RNA from Proteiniphilum acetatigenes, 148 nucleotides. The record is from Rfam. NCBI's taxonomy places the organism in Bacteria, Pseudomonadati, Bacteroidota, Bacteroidia, Bacteroidales, Dysgonomonadaceae.